This 446-nucleotide ribosomal RNA is filed under the name uncultured bacterium. Its description in RNAcentral is "bacterial SSU rRNA". It matches the Rfam family "Bacterial small subunit ribosomal RNA", at positions 329 to 792 of the family's 1533-position model. The record is from RNAcentral.
CGCCAGACUCCUACGGGAGGCAGCAGUGGGGAAUAUUGCACAAUGGGGGAAACCCUGAUGCAGCGACGCCGCGUGAGCGAUGAAGUAUUUCGGUAUGUAAAGCUCUAUCAGCAGGGAAGAAGAUGACGGUACCUGACUAAGAAGCCCCGGCUAGCUACGUGCCAGCAGCCGCGGUAAUACGUAGGGGGCAAGCGUUAUCCGGAUUUACUGGGUGUAAAGGGAGCGUAGACGGCGAUGCAAGCCAGAUGUGAAAGCCCGGGGCUCAACCCCGGGACUGCAUUUGGAACUGUGUGGCUGGAGUGUCGGAGAGGCAGGCGGAAUUCCUAGUGUAGCGGUGAAAUGCGUAGAUAUUAGGAGGAACACCAGUGGCGAAGGCGGCCUGCUGGACGAUGACUGACGUUGAGGCCCGAAAGCGUGGGGAGCAAACAGGAUUAGAUACCCCGGUA